AGAACUCUGCGCGGCAUGCCUAACACAUGCAAGUCGAACGAACUCUUCGGAGUUAGUGGCGCACGGGUGCGUAACGCGUGGGAAUCUGCCCUUGGGUACGGAAUAACUCAGAGAAAUUUGUGCUAAUACCGUAUAAUGUCUUCGGACCAAAGAUUUAUCGCCCAAGGAUGAGCCCGCGUAAGAUUAGCUAGUUGGUGGGGUAAAGGCCUACCAAGGCUACGAUCUUUAGCUGGUCUGAGAGGAUGAUCAGCCACACUGGGACUGAGACACGGCCCAGACUCCUACGGGAGGCAGCAGUGGGGAAUAUUGGACAAUGGGCGAAAGCCUGAUCCAGCAAUGCCGCGUGAGUGAUGAAGGCCUUAGGGUUGUAAAGCUCUUUUACCCGGGAUGAUAAUGACAGUACCGGGAGAAUAAGCUCCGGCUAACUCCGUGCCAGCAGCCGCGGUAAUACGCUAACUCCGUGCCAGCAGCCGCGGUAAUAC
RNAcentral lists this ribosomal RNA (482 nucleotides) under Sphingopyxis sp. GC-1. RNAcentral's name for it is "bacterial SSU rRNA". It matches the Rfam family "Bacterial small subunit ribosomal RNA", at positions 39 to 535 of the family's 1533-position model. The record is from RNAcentral. Lineage: Bacteria; Pseudomonadati; Pseudomonadota; Alphaproteobacteria; Sphingomonadales; Sphingopyxidaceae.